GAUGAACGCUGGCGGCGUGCCUAAUACAUGCAAGUCGAGCGAACGGACGAGAAGCUUGCUUCUCUGAUGUUAGCGGCGGACGGGUGAGUAACACGUGGAUAGCCUACCUAUAAGACUGGGAUAACUUCGGGAAACCGGAGCUAAUACCGGAUGAUAUUUUGAACCGCAUGGUUCAAAAGUGAAAGACGGUCUUGCUGUCACUUAUAGCUGGAUCCGGGCUGCAUUAGCUAGUUGGUAAGGUAACGGCUUACCAAGGCCACGAUGCAUAGCCGACCUGAAAGGGUGAUCGGCCACACUGGAACUGAGACACGGUCCCGACUCCUACGGGAGGCAGCAGUAGGGAAUCUUCCGCAAUGGGCGAAAGCGUGACGGAGCAACGCCGCGUGAGUGAUGAAGGUCUGCGGAUCGUAAAACUCUGUUAUUAGGGAAGUACAUAUGUGUAAGUAACUGUGCAGAUCUUGACGGUACCUAAUAAGAGAGCCACGGCUAACUACGGG
This 497-nucleotide ribosomal RNA is filed under the name uncultured bacterium. RNAcentral describes it as "partial 16S ribosomal RNA". It matches the Rfam family "Bacterial small subunit ribosomal RNA", at positions 28 to 507 of the family's 1533-position model. The record is from RNAcentral.